This 421-nucleotide ribosomal RNA is filed under the name uncultured bacterium. RNAcentral describes it as "bacterial SSU rRNA". It matches the Rfam family "Bacterial small subunit ribosomal RNA", at positions 360 to 773 of the family's 1533-position model. The record is from RNAcentral.
AAUUUUGGACAAUGGGGGCAACCCUGAUCCAGCCAUUCCGCGUGAGUGAAGAAGGCCUUCGGGUUGUAAAGCUCUUUUGUCCGGAACGAAACGGUCGUGGUGAAUAGCCACGGCUACUGACGGUACCGGAAGAAUAAGCACCGGCUAACUACGUGCCAGCAGCCGCGGUAAAACGUAGGAGGCAAGCGUUAUCCGGAGUAACUGGGCGUAAAGGGCGAGUAGGUGGUUGCGUAAGUUGGUUAUGAAAGCUCCUGGCUAAACUGGGAGAGGUUGACCAAGACUGCGCGACUUGAGUGGAGAAGAGGUAAACGGAAUUCCGCGUGUGGUGGUGAAAUGCGUAGAGAUGCGGAAGAACACCAGUGGCGAAGGCGGUUUACUGGUCUCCAACUGACACUGAACCGCGAAAGCAUGGGUAGCGAAC